UCGAGGAAAUUAUCAAUGCUGUUGCAGUUGAAACGCUCGUAGUUGAGCCUUGCGCAGCCGCGGCGGUGCCCCGCAAGGGGCGACUGUCGCGCUGCGCGUGCGCGUGGAGACACGGCGGGUUACUGUGAGGAAAUUAGAGUGUUCAAAGCAGGCGUUUGCUUGAAUAUGUCAGCAUGGGAUAACAGCCGUGCGAGCGGCCG
Molecule: ribosomal RNA, 200 nt
Filed under: uncultured eukaryote
Lineage: Eukaryota
Description: partial 18S ribosomal RNA
Source: RNAcentral